CAUAAUGAAAUGAAAACUCCUCUAUUUAUAGAAGAAAGGAAGCAGCUGCGAGGCUGUUCUUGAGCUGCUUGUAAGCUGCCUGCAUGAGCUGCUUGCAACCUGCAUGUUUAAUAAAAAGCUGCUGCAAAUCAUUUCAUUAAGUUGCUUGCAACCUGCCUACAUCAUCUGCUUGUAGACAAAUUUCAAUAGAGUACCAAAUGAAUAAUCUUCUUCGAAAAAAUUAUCUAUAGCGGAGUAAUAAAUAAAUAUUCACAAUAUAAUUAUUUUCAUAUUGAUAUUAAAUUUGAGCAAACUAACGGUGGAAACAUUGUCAUGGUAAUAUUCAUUGACAAAUACAGUACCAAAUGACUUUUGCAUCUCCAGUCCCAAGAUGCUAGAAAUAAAGAAGACCGCGUCCUUUUUUCUUCUUCAUUAGAUCAAGCAAUUUAUUCUUUUCACUCUUCUUCGUAUGGGCAGAAACAUGCAAUUUAUUCUUGAAAUACGUAGCAAUUGAGAAGUACUUUAGAUAUGAAAAGUGUUGCUCCACGUAAACCUUGUAAAGUUAGUGAAUUUGCAACUUUCAAGGGGUGUAUAUAUUUUUUCCUUAUUCUUCUACUUCUUCUUCUUCUUCUUUUGUUUUUUCUCUUAUAUCUUUCUCCUUCUCUUACCCAAUUUUCUUGAUUUCAUUUCCUUCUUCAAACUAAUAAAUUUUCGUUGAUAACAUUAAAUCUAGUUGAAAACUCAAAACCCUAAGAUAACCGUGAUACCAAAAAGAGAUCAAUCAAUAAGAGCAUACCUAGUUACAAAUUACGGCAAUAUAAUUUAGGGAUUUUUACCUUUCUAUAUACUAUUUGAAACUUUAUUACCAAAAAUGUCUAUGUUUAGUUAAUUACCCGACCUAAACAAAUUUUGUUUACAAAAUAUAUGCAUUCCACCUUAUAAGGCUCUCAAUCCAUUAUUAAUGCAUUCAAUCAAGGGAUUUACUUACAUAUUUUUCCUUUAUUUUUUCUCCUCUUCUCAUUCUUCUCUCCAGAAUAUUGAUGCGGGAUCCCUCCAGUACUAAAUCUCCUUUUAGUUCCCCUCAUCAAAAACAAUCUGAACAAACUGAAAUUACAAAGCAAACUUAAACUAUAAAUCACAGACACGUAUUCAUAGACACAUGUUUCUUCUUGUAAGACACAUGUUUCUUCUUGCAAAUCUAUCGGAUGCGCUAUCAAGUUGGUUCUCUGAUCUUCCUCUCAAUUUAAAGAUUCUAAAUCUCUUUAACAACCAUAUCAAUGGAAGAGUUUCUGAUACCUCAUCAAAUAUUUUCAACACAAAUACCUCAUCAAAAAUUUUAUGUGUAAGGUAAUUUAGAUAUUGGAAAUCCUUACCAACAGUAAGGCAAAAUGGAAAAAACCAUCUUCUUUAUACUUAAACUGGGAUAUAU
This 1408-nucleotide long non-coding RNA is filed under the name Nicotiana tabacum (common tobacco). RNAcentral describes it as "long non-coding RNA (NTAB_LNC006787)". The record is from RNAcentral. Lineage: Eukaryota; Viridiplantae; Streptophyta; Magnoliopsida; Solanales; Solanaceae.